RNAcentral lists this ribosomal RNA (440 nucleotides) under uncultured bacterium. Its description in RNAcentral is "partial 16S ribosomal RNA". It matches the Rfam family "Bacterial small subunit ribosomal RNA", at positions 338 to 795 of the family's 1533-position model. The record is from RNAcentral.
CCUACGGGUGGCAGCAGUGAGGGAUAUUGGUCAAUGGGGGAAACCCUGAACCAGCAACGCCGCGUGAGGGAAGACGGUUUUCGGAUUGUAAACCUCUGUCCUCAGUGAAGAUAAUGACGGUAGCAGAGGAGGAAGCUCCGGCUAAAUAGGGUCCAGCAGCCGCGGGAAUACGUAGGGAGCAAGCGUUGUCCGGAUUUACUGGGUGUAAAGGGUGCGUAGGCGGGUUUGCAAGUCAGAAGUGAAAUACAUGGGCUUAACCCAUGAACUGCUUUUGAAACUGGAGAGCUUGAGUGGAGUAGAGGUAGGCGGAAUUCCGGGUGUAGCGGUGAAAUGCGUAGAGAUUGGGAGGAACACCAGUGGCGAAGGCGGCCUGCUGGGCUCUAACUGACGCUGAGGCACGAAAGCGUGGGUAGCAAACAGGAUUAGAUACCCUAGUAGUC